AUACGGUCAAAUCACGCUGAAAACACCGGUUCUCGUUCGAUCACCGAAGUUAAGCAUCGUAGAGCUAGGGUCAGUACUUAGAUGGGGGACCGCUUGGGAACACCUGGUACUGUAAG
RNAcentral lists this ribosomal RNA (116 nucleotides) under Acanthosepion pharaonis. Lineage: Eukaryota; Metazoa; Mollusca; Cephalopoda; Sepiida; Sepiidae. The record is from RNAcentral.